Sitodiplosis mosellana (orange wheat blossom midge) is the source of this 419-nucleotide long non-coding RNA. RefSeq lists it as uncharacterized. The transcript has 3 exons. The record is from RefSeq and is a predicted model, not a curated record. NCBI's taxonomy places the organism in Eukaryota, Metazoa, Arthropoda, Insecta, Diptera, Cecidomyiidae.
UCGUAAGGUAUUGCAAAAUGCAUACUUUCUGCUUCAAAACGCAGAGUCGACACUUUUCUGAGGGAAGUUGUCGAGCCACGAGUACACAAGACGAAAUGGCAUCGUGACAUAGCCGCUGCAAAAUGUAUCCUGAUCAAAGGACACUGUGACUUGUUUGGGUACACGUUACCCGAAACAUUGCAGAGGCCAUCCAACCAGCGAGCUGCUGUCAACAACUAACCAGCAUCAUGUAUCGUCGUUCACGCCAUUCACAUUGAAUAAUUCAAAAAUUAAAAUAUAACAUUAUGUUAUUUCCGCUAUGCCUGAUUGUUGUGGUAUAGAAGGCGUAACUCGAAAGAAGCCAGAAGUACCCAUAUGGGUAGUGAAAAAAAAUACCUAAUAAACAACUCUGAAAUUUUGAAAUCAUUAAAUGUAUACAU